RNAcentral lists this ribosomal RNA (336 nucleotides) under Triticum aestivum (bread wheat). RNAcentral describes it as "partial small subunit ribosomal RNA". Lineage: Eukaryota; Viridiplantae; Streptophyta; Magnoliopsida; Poales; Poaceae. The record is from RNAcentral.
CAGGCUACGCCGCUGGUAGCUGGGCUGUCGGUAGCUGCUGCUGCCAUGGGAAGCAGAUUCAUGAUUCAGGCAUGGCAGGCCUUUCGAAUCCGGGCGGCGAUGCCACGUGUGCGUAAAUUCUAUCCUGGCGGAUUUGAGAGGGAGAUGAGCAGAAGAGAAGCGGCACUGAUCCUUGGCGUAAGAGAACGUGCUGCACUGGACAAGAUAAAGGAGGCCCACAAGAGGGUGAUGGUAGCCAACCACCCUGAUGGUGGCGGCAGCCAUUACAUUGCUUCCAAGAUAAACGAGGCCAAGGACAUGCUCAUGGGGAAGGGCAAAUCCGGGUCCAUUUUUUAG